UCUGGUGGCGAUGCGCUUGGGGGAAACACCCGUUCUCAUCCCGAACACGUUGGUUAAGACCCUUGCGGCCGAUGGUACUAUGCUGGUAACGGCAUGGGAGAGUAGGUGGCUGCCAGAU
Molecule: ribosomal RNA, 118 nt
Filed under: Anaerobium acetethylicum
Lineage: Bacteria; Bacillati; Bacillota; Clostridia; Lachnospirales; Lachnospiraceae
Source: RNAcentral